AACCCGUAGAUCCGAACUUGUGUUGUUAAAUAGUCUAACCACAAGGUCGAUUCUAUGGGUCCA
This 63-nucleotide microRNA precursor is filed under the name Centruroides sculpturatus (bark scorpion). RNAcentral describes it as "Csc-Mir-10-P2r1_pre stem-loop". The record is from RNAcentral. Lineage: Eukaryota; Metazoa; Arthropoda; Arachnida; Scorpiones; Buthidae.